GAUGAACGCUAGCUACAGGCUUAACACAUGCAAGUCGAGGGGAAACGAUAGAGAAAGCUUGCUUUUUCUAGGCGUCGACCGGCGCACGGGUGAGUAACGCGUAUCCAACCUGCCCACCACUUGGGGAUAACCUUGCGAAAGUAAGACUAAUACCCAAUGACAUCUCUAGAAGACAUCUGAAGGAGAUUAAAGAUUUAUCGGUGAUGGAUGGGGAUGCGUCUGAUAGCUUGUUGGCGGGGUAACGGCCCACCAAGGCGACGAUCAGUAGGGGUUCGGAACGGAAGGUCCCCCACAUUGGAACUGAGACACGGUCCAAACUCCUACGGGAGGCAGCAGUGAGGAAUAUUGGUCAAUGGGCGAGAGCCUGAACCAGCCAAGUAGCGUGCAGGAUGACGGCCCUAUGGGUUGUAAACUGCUUUUAUAAGGGAAUAAAGUGAGCCUCGUGAGGCUUUUUGCAUGUACCUUAUGAAUAAGGACCGGCUAAUUCCGUGCCAGCCGCCGCAGUAA
This 507-nucleotide ribosomal RNA is filed under the name uncultured bacterium. RNAcentral describes it as "partial 16S ribosomal RNA". It matches the Rfam family "Bacterial small subunit ribosomal RNA", at positions 28 to 523 of the family's 1533-position model. The record is from RNAcentral.